Strigops habroptila (Kakapo) is the source of this 180-nucleotide long non-coding RNA. RefSeq lists it as uncharacterized. Lineage: Eukaryota; Metazoa; Chordata; Aves; Psittaciformes; Psittacidae. The record is from RefSeq and is a predicted model, not a curated record. The transcript is spliced from 2 exons.
CCCUCUCCCGCGCCCCCCGCGGGGUGACGGACGCGCUUCCCCGCUACCGGGAGUUGCUCCUUUUCCUGCCUUCAUCGUCAUUUUAAUUUUUGUCCAAGCCUUUCAAAGGCAACCAGAGCAAGAGUCUGACAACAGCCCACCCACUGACAGCACAGGGAAGACAUGAUGGGGGUGUGUUGC